AUAUGUGGGAAAAGCCUCUGAUGACAUCAAAACUCUCCGAAACAGAAAGUUGAGUGGAUUCAGCUUUGAUUCUAUUGAGACUUUAACUGAUUUGAAAGAAAGUCAGGAUUGACUACAAGCUGGAAAGGCAAAGGACAAUAGAAUUCAUCACUGGUUGUGGUGGUGAAAUUAUUCUCAGCAUUUUGCCCAACAGGUCAUGCCCAAGAAGUCUUAUCACUGUUAGGCACUGCCAUCUCCCUCUUGUAGCAUAAUGGCUUUUUAAGUGAGGAGCAUGAAAGGAUGGCUCAAGAAACAGAAGAGAUCAGUAACGCAAGUUUAAAGGGAGUUUAAAUCUACCUCAGCAGCAGUCCCAGUUACUUCACUCUGAUAACACUGGUUGCUCUAAGGGUUGACUUAACUUCACAGCCACUUUUUAAGCUUUGUGUAGUGAGGCUAAAGGUAAGACCUGACUUCUCAACUGAAUGUCAUAACAACUUAAAAAUCCUUGCUGUAUGCUGAACAAAAUUUCUGUAUUUAUUUUGCCCAGUGGAAUAACUCUUGAUUCUGAUUUGGCAUUUGUUCCUUUGUGAUAAGAUAUUCAAGGCCACCACAUGCACUGUUGAAAUGCAGUAAAUAU
This is a non-coding RNA of Phasianus colchicus (ring-necked pheasant), 616 nucleotides long. NCBI's taxonomy places the organism in Eukaryota, Metazoa, Chordata, Aves, Galliformes, Phasianidae. The record is from RefSeq and is a predicted model, not a curated record.